CCCUUAGAGUUUGAUCCUGGCUCAGGAUUAACGCUAGCGGCAGGCCUAAUACAUGCAAGUCGAACGGCAGCACGGGUAGCAAUACCUGGUGGCGAGUGGCGCACGGGUGCGUAACGCGUAUGCAAUCUACCUAUAACUGGGGAAUAGCCUUCCGAAAGGAAGAUUAAAACCGCAUAAUAUCACGAAGCGGCAUCGUUUUGUGAUCAAAUCUCCGGAGGUUAUAGAUGAGCAUGCGUGACAUUAGCUAGUUGGUGAGGUAACGGCUCACCAAGGCUACGAUGUCUAGGGGGUCUGAGAGGAUGAUCCCCCACACUGGUACUGAGACACGGACCAGACUCCUACGGGAGGCAGCAGUAAGGAAUAUUGGACAAUGGGCGCAAGCCUGAUCCAGCCAUGCCGCGUGCAGGAUGAAGGUGCUCUGCAUUGUAAACUGCUUUUGUUUGGGAAUAAACCCUUCUACGUGUAGAAGGCUGAAUGUACCAAAAGAAUAAGGGACGGCUAACUUCGUGCCAGCAGCCGCGGUAAUACGAAG
This 532-nucleotide ribosomal RNA is filed under the name uncultured bacterium. RNAcentral describes it as "bacterial SSU rRNA". It matches the Rfam family "Bacterial small subunit ribosomal RNA", at positions 1 to 530 of the family's 1533-position model. The record is from RNAcentral.